GGAGGAGUGGCUGAGUGGAUUAAGGCAGCGGUCUUGAAAACCGUCGAUGAUUUAUUUCAUCCGAGAGUUCGAAUCUCUCCUCCUCCG
Molecule: transfer RNA, 87 nt
Filed under: Buchnera aphidicola (Stegophylla sp.)
Lineage: Bacteria; Pseudomonadati; Pseudomonadota; Gammaproteobacteria; Enterobacterales; Erwiniaceae
Rfam family: tRNA
About the family: Transfer RNA (tRNA) molecules are approximately 80 nucleotides in length. Their secondary structure includes four short double-helical elements and three loops (D, anti-codon, and T loops). Further hydrogen bonds mediate the characteristic L-shaped molecular structure. tRNAs have two regions of fundamental functional importance: the anti-codon, which is responsible for specific mRNA codon recognition, and the 3' end, to which the tRNAs corresponding amino acid is attached (by aminoacyl-tRNA synthetases). tRNAs cope with the degeneracy of the genetic code in two manners: having more than one tRNA (with a specific anti-codon) for a particular amino acid; and 'wobble' base-pairing, i.e. permitting non-standard base-pairing at the 3rd anti-codon position.
Source: Rfam by way of RNAcentral